RNAcentral lists this ribosomal RNA (250 nucleotides) under uncultured bacterium. RNAcentral describes it as "partial 16S ribosomal RNA". It matches the Rfam family "Bacterial small subunit ribosomal RNA", at positions 28 to 279 of the family's 1533-position model. The record is from RNAcentral.
GACGAACGCUGGCGGCGUGCUUAACACAUGCAAGUCGAACGGUGAACCAGGGCUUGCCCUGGGAAUCAGUGGCGAACGGGUGAGUAACACGUGGGCAACCUGCCCCAGACUCUGGGAUAACUCCGGGAAACCGGGGCUAAUACCGGAUAUGACCUUUGAAGGCAUCUUCGAAGGUGGAAAGUUUUUCGGUCUGGGAUGGGCCCGCGGCCUAUCAGCUAGUUGGUGAGGUAAUGGCUCACCAAGGCGACGA